GUGGGGAAUAUUGGACAAUGGGCGAAAGCCUGAUCCAGCCAUGCCGCGUGUGUGAAGAAGGUCUUCGGAUUGUAAAGCACUUUAAGUUGGGAGGAAGGGCAGUAAGUUAAUACCUUGCUGUUUUGACGUUACCGACAGAAUAAGCACCGGCUAACUUCGUGCCAGCAGCCGCGGUAAUACGAAGGGUGCAAGCGUUAAUCGGAAUUACUGGGCGUAAAGCGCGCGUAGGUGGUUUUGUAAGUUGGAGGUGAUAUCCCCGGGCUCAACCUGGGAACUGCCUCCAAAACUGCAUGACUAGAGUACGGUAGAGGGUAGUGGAAUUUCCUGUGUAGCGGUGAAAUGCGUAGAUAUAGGAAGGAACACCAGUGGCGAAGGCGACUACCUGGACUGAUACUGACACUGAGGUGCGAAAGCGUGGGGAGCAAACAGGAUUAGAUACCCGUGUAGUCC
RNAcentral lists this ribosomal RNA (450 nucleotides) under uncultured bacterium. RNAcentral describes it as "partial 16S ribosomal RNA". It matches the Rfam family "Bacterial small subunit ribosomal RNA", at positions 354 to 796 of the family's 1533-position model. The record is from RNAcentral.